Mirounga angustirostris (Northern elephant seal) is the source of this 2266-nucleotide long non-coding RNA. RefSeq lists it as uncharacterized. Lineage: Eukaryota; Metazoa; Chordata; Mammalia; Carnivora; Phocidae. The record is from RefSeq and is a predicted model, not a curated record. The transcript has 4 exons.
UAUAAAGUAUCUGCCCCAGGAGGUGGAAUUUAGAUAAACCUGCCAGCAUGGUUGAGAUAAAAUUUAUAAAAUGUUUUGAACCUAUAAAGCACUGUAAAAUGUUGGCCUCAAAAUGGGAUGCAUGUGGUACAACCCAUUUGGAGAGUCAUUUUAAAGGCCCCAGAGUGUGCAUCUAAUUUGCCUGAGUCAUUUCAUCUUAAAAAUUAUAUCCAUAAAAAAGAAUUCCAAAGAAGCAAAAAGUUGUAUGUAGACAAUUUUUUAAUGCAGCACUGCCUAAAAUCACUAAAAUUUCUCAACUCAGUGGAAUACUUUAUACCCAUUAAAAUGGGUAUAAAUAUGAAAUAUUUGUGUUAAAAUGUUAUAUAACAAAACCAUGAUACGGAAUUAAACCUACCCUAUCAUGACAAAUUUGUAAAUUGUAUCUGUGCUGGGAGUGAGUGCAGAAAAGCUGAUAUAUGAUGGAAGUGGGACUGCAUGUUGCUUUUUCUUGUUUUCUUUAAUAUUUUCAUAAUACUCUUUGUAUGUUAAUACAAUCAGGAGGAAAAAAAAAAAACAAAUACAGUGGCUUUGUAGGCUUGGCUCAACUGUCAGGGACUGAACAGAGUCAUAUAUCUUAGGACAUAUCUGAUCUACUCCCCACAAAUGGCGAAAGGUUUAGCCCUUUGAUAUUUGUGUCUAUCCCUUCCCUCUAAAAGCAAAAAUAUCAGAUAAAAGAAUUUGUGGUUCUUUUCCUUCUGUUCUUUUCAUGUGAAGGAAGUAUCACUUCCCUUCUGUCCUAUUCCAGAAAUUAGUAAUCUUAUCUCAGUCCUGCUCAGGUCAGGUCCUGAACCACUUCUUCUUUCAAGGAUGAGAAACAGGAAGAAGUAUUUCAGGGGCAGUGGUAGUGCAUGUUUGUCUCUGCCCUGCAAGUGACCUCUGCCAACCAUGUUUUAGUGUGAUCUUGGGGAGGAAUACCUAAGACUCCCACAAAGCAUAUGGUGUGACUGUUUCUUUCUCCUGCCCGAAGUUUGGAUCUCUGUUUGGACAACUGAGGGAGCAUGUGGAACCAUCUAGAAUGCUUCUGAGAGAGCAACAGGCAGCUUUGAGGCCAAUAUACCCUUUAUGUAUCAUUGGGGAUGUGCUAGCCAUAUCAUUGGUCAACCCAAGCACAGUGGGUAGAAUAAUUAUAGCUAAUGUUGACUGAAUAUUCACUACACGCACUUUGACAUCUACUAAUCUCAUUUAAUCAUCACAACAACUCCAAGAGGUAAGUACUAUUAUUGCCAUCAUUUUCCAGAUGAGGACAAGGAGGUCCAGAGAAUAACUUGCUUAAUUAAGGUCAAACAUGUAUAGAGAUAGGAUUUUAACCCCAUUAGUCUGGCUUCAGACACUAAAGGCUUAAUCAGAUUGCUAAGAAUGACAUUCAGGUGGAACUUUUCUCAGCAAUAAGUGUAAUGGAAAAACAAUAUUAUGUUAUUUGUACUUCCCAGAACCUUCUCAGAAGGGUAGAUCCUGUGUGGCCAGUUCCUUUGAAUGUGGCGGAUCAAGCAAAUUGGAGAGGUUUAGACAGAGGAUAAGAACCACGUGGAAAUUUAGUUUUGCCAUCUAGAGAGAGAGCACACAAACAGGUGGAGCAGCAGAGGGAGAGGGAGAAGCAGACUCCCUGUUGAGCAAGGACUCCAUUGCAGGGCUCCAUCCCAGGACCCUGGGAUCAUGAUCUGAGCUGAAGGCAGAUGCUUAACCAACUGAGCCACCCAGGCGCCCCACUUCCAGGUACAGGAGACAAUUCCACUUCCGUGCCUAGAUUUCUGAGAUAACACAUGGAAGAUAACUUCUUGGGAGAGUUUCUCUUUCCUGUAGUAAAUUUUGGACAAAUAAGAAAUAAACUUCUAUUAUAUUAGGCACUGAGAUUUUGGUAUUGUUUGUUACUGCAGCAAAACCUGUUAUUGAUACAGAAAUCCAUAGUCUGGAUGGAAAAUCCAUCUGAAUUUCUAGUUUUUUAAAUUGUUAAUUAGGAUGCUGAUUUGAGAUCUUCCUUUUAUUUUAAUGUGUUUAUGACUAUAAAUUUUCCCUUAGCACUGCUUUCACUGCAUCCCAUUUUAAGUUUUGAUAUGUUGUGGUUUUGCUUCAUUCAUCUCUAAAUAUUUUAAAAUUUCCCUUGUAACUUCUUCUUUGGCCCAUUAGUUCUUUAAGAAUAUGUUGCUUAGGGGUGCCUGGGUGGUUCAGUUGGUUAAGUGUCUGCCUUUGGCUCAGGUCAUGAUCCCAGGGUUGUCGGAUCUAGCCCUAC